This 74-nucleotide transfer RNA is filed under the name Streptantibioticus silvisoli. RNAcentral describes it as "tRNA-OTHER". It matches the Rfam family "tRNA". Rfam says of the family: Transfer RNA (tRNA) molecules are approximately 80 nucleotides in length. Their secondary structure includes four short double-helical elements and three loops (D, anti-codon, and T loops). Lineage: Bacteria; Bacillati; Actinomycetota; Actinomycetes; Kitasatosporales; Streptomycetaceae. The record is from RNAcentral.
GGUUGCGUAGCUCAGUUGGCAGAGCAGGCGCACUUAUAAGCGUCGUGUCGCGGGUUCGAGUCCCGCCGCAACCA